This 936-nucleotide long non-coding RNA is filed under the name Nicotiana benthamiana. RNAcentral describes it as "long non-coding RNA (NBEN_LNC018240)". The record is from RNAcentral. Lineage: Eukaryota; Viridiplantae; Streptophyta; Magnoliopsida; Solanales; Solanaceae.
CCAAUCAAAGAUGCUGAGAGUAAGCGUAAGCUCACCCGGAAGCUCGAAGAGCUUCCCUUCAUUCGCUUCGCGGGAGCCGCACAGCACAUAGCUGGAAGUCAGAGGGCCCAUACUACCUGCCUAACCCUUCGCUCCGAGGGACCGUAGAUCGGAAAGCGCCUUCUGCACAUCACAUAGCUGAAGUCAGAGGGCCCACACUACCUGCCUAGCCCUUUGCUUCGAGGGACUGUAGAUCGGAAAGCGCCUUCUAAACCACCCCAUUCAUCCAAAAGAGAAGGGAAGGGGUUUAUGUAUUUGCAUGACCCUUACAGAUUUAACCGUAUCUAUACCCGGAGCCACUCCCCUAGCGGUCCUGCCACCACGCCGCAGAACGGGAGCUCGUGUGGAACCUUUUAUUGUGGCAUAACAGCGGCAGAACGUAACAAUAUAUUACGGCCGCCUAACAUAGGGGACUGAGGUACGGUAAACUCGGCCAAAAUAUAAGACCCGAAGGGCCGGCGCGCACAAUCUUGUCCUAUCUGAGUCCGAAUUUACCCCUCGCAAUUCGGACAGCCAUCCGUAGCAUCAUAAGGAGGACCCCCCUUUCGAGGUACAAAAAGAGUACGGUACAUAGGAGGUUGGUCUUUCUCAACGUGGUGUAUAGCACGAAAAACCUUUCGAUACAAGAUAGGGCCGUUCACAUGAAAGAAAAAAAUGAAUCCUUUCUUAUCUUCUUUCCCGAGAGGGAAAGAGAAAGAGGGUCUUAUGGAGGGAGGGGGGAGGGGAUACAAGAUAGGGUCGUUCGAAUUAAAGAAAAAAAUGAAUCCUUUCUUAUCUUCUUUCCCGAAAUGGAAAGAGAAAGAGGGUCUUAUGGGGGGAGGGGGGAGGGGAAAGGCUUGGGCCUACCUAUCCCGAUAGGACCCCAUAAAAGAACGGGAGCUGUUGAGAGGUUCCAUA